This is a long non-coding RNA of Syngnathus acus (greater pipefish), 410 nucleotides long. RefSeq lists it as uncharacterized. The record is from RefSeq and is a predicted model, not a curated record. NCBI's taxonomy places the organism in Eukaryota, Metazoa, Chordata, Actinopteri, Syngnathiformes, Syngnathidae. The transcript has 3 exons.
AAUGUUACGAGAAGAGCUGCAAAGAAAUGUUUUCCAGAAAAUCAGCUGGAACAAGUUCGAUGGCAAUUAGAAUUGUAAUUGACAAGAGCAAAAAAUAAAAGAGGAAAAGCUGUCGUGCGCUCAAAACCUCUGUCAUGUGUGCAGGCCGACGCCCCAGGAUUGCAAUUACUAGAUAAUGCCUGCGUUGGUGUGAUUUCCACUAAUGCAGAUCUUCAUACAUACGGCUGCACCAAUAACGACUUUCUAACCAUCUGCCAAAAAGCCAAGGUUCGAGAGGUUGUUACUGCUCAUUCGUCGUCAAUAUUCAGGCCAGGCUGGAGCGAAAAGUGCGGCCGGUGGAUGGGCAACCCAUCCAACGAUUUCUGCUACCUGAUGAGCGGCAACCAUGCCGUGACCUGGCAGAAGGCGCG